UACGUAGGGUGCGAGCGUUGUCCGGAAUUAUUGGGCGUAAAGAGCUUGUAGGUGGUUUGUCGCGUCUGCUGUGAAAAUCCGGGGCUCAACCCCGGACUUGCAGUGGGUACGGGCAGACUAGAGUGUGGUAGGGGAGACUGGAAUUCCUGGUGUAGCGGUGGAAUGCACAGAUAUCAGGAGGAACACCGAUGGCGAAGGCAGGUCUCUGGGCCAUUACUGACACUGAGAAGCGAAAGCAUGGGGAGCGAACAGG
Molecule: ribosomal RNA, 253 nt
Filed under: uncultured bacterium
Lineage: Bacteria
Description: partial 16S ribosomal RNA
Rfam family: Bacterial small subunit ribosomal RNA
Source: RNAcentral